Molecule: ribosomal RNA, 497 nt
Filed under: uncultured bacterium
Lineage: Bacteria
Description: partial 16S ribosomal RNA
Rfam family: Bacterial small subunit ribosomal RNA
Source: RNAcentral
ACUCAAAGGAAUUGACGGGGGCCCGCACAAGCGGUGGAGUAUGUGGUUUAAUUCGAAGCAACGCGAAGAACCUUACCUGGCCUUGACAUCUCUUGACAGUCCUAGAGAUAGGAUCUUCCCUUCGGGGACAAGAUGACAGGUGCUGCAUGGCUGUCGUCAGCUCGUGUUGUGAAAUGUUCGGUUAAGUCCGGCAACGAGCGCAACCCCUAUCCUUAGUUACCAUCAUUAAGUUGGGGACUCUAGGGAGACUGCCGGUGUUAAGCCGGAGGAAGGCGGGGAUGACGUCAAGUCCUCAUGGCCCUUACGGCCAGGGCUACACACGUACUACAAUGGUAGAAACAAUCUGCUGCAAAACCGAAAGGUCGAGCUAAUCAGAAAAACACUAUCUCAGUCCGGAUUGAAGUCUGCAACUCGACUUCAUGAAGUUGGAAUCGCUAGUAAUCGGAGAUCAGCAUGCUCCGGUGAAUACGUUCCCGGGCCUUGUACACACCGCCCGU